GAUGAACGCUGGCGGCGUGCCUAAUACAUGCAAGUCGAGCGAACGGACGAGAAGCUUGCUUUUCUCAUGUUAGCGGCGCACGGGUGAGUAACACGUGGAAAACCUACCUAUAAGACUGGUAUAACUUCGGGAAACCGGAUCUAAUACCGGAUAAUAUUUUGAACCGCAUGGUUCAAAAGUGAAAGACGGUCUUGCUGUCACUUAUAGAUGGAUCCGCGCUGCAUUAGCUAGUUGGUAAGGUAACGGCUUACCAAGGCAACGAUGCAUAGCCGACCUGAGAGGGGGAUCGGCCACAGUGGAGCUGGGGCACGGACCAGACUCCUACGGGAGGCAGCAGUAGGGAACCUUACGCAAUGGUCGAAAGCCUGGCGGAGCAACGCCGAGUGAGUGAUGAAGGUCUUCGGAUCGUAAAACUCUGUUAUUAGGGAUGAACAUAUGUGUAAGUAGCUGUGCACAUCUUGACGGUAACUAAUCAGAAAGCAACGGCUAACUACGUG
RNAcentral lists this ribosomal RNA (497 nucleotides) under uncultured bacterium. RNAcentral describes it as "partial 16S ribosomal RNA". It matches the Rfam family "Bacterial small subunit ribosomal RNA", at positions 28 to 507 of the family's 1533-position model. The record is from RNAcentral.